AAGUCGUAACAAGGUUUCCGUAGGUGAACCUGCGGAAGGAUCAUUAACACGUUUUAUCCACGUAUCUUAUCCACAAUUACUACGAACUGUGCUCCCUGUUAGUGAACUCAUGGCUGUUCGGUGCUGGUUGUUAGUGGGCUUCCUUCGGGAGGCACAUCAGUGCUGGGCUAUCAUACCUCCGAGUAUGUGGCUGUGUAAAUUCUAACAGGCUUAUUGACUCUUCUCGUCGCCCUACCACUAUGGGGAGGCGAGAAGGACCCCAUACCAACCUAUUUCACCCUAUUUUACCAACAAUGGCUAAUUCUUUUCGAUGGGAGAAAUCCUAUUGAAUACAACUAAGAUUUAAUCUUAACUAAGCACAACUCUUAGCAAUGGAUAUCUUGGUUCUC
RNAcentral lists this unclassified non-coding RNA (389 nucleotides) under fungal sp. RNAcentral describes it as "partial internal transcribed spacer region". The stretch from base 1 to 46 matches the Rfam family "Eukaryotic small subunit ribosomal RNA", at positions 1786 to 1831 of the family's 1831-position model. Lineage: Eukaryota; Fungi. The record is from RNAcentral.